RNAcentral lists this non-coding RNA (52 nucleotides) under Cellulosilyticum lentocellum DSM 5427. The record is from RNAcentral. Lineage: Bacteria; Bacillati; Bacillota; Clostridia; Lachnospirales; Cellulosilyticaceae.
UAAUCUAUUAGGAGGGCAUCUAGUAUGCUAAACAAAGAAAUGUUAAGUGAGA